RNAcentral lists this ribosomal RNA (343 nucleotides) under uncultured Alcaligenaceae bacterium. RNAcentral's name for it is "bacterial SSU rRNA". It matches the Rfam family "Bacterial small subunit ribosomal RNA", at positions 1033 to 1382 of the family's 1533-position model. Lineage: Bacteria; Pseudomonadati; Pseudomonadota; Betaproteobacteria; Burkholderiales; Alcaligenaceae. The record is from RNAcentral.
CACAGGUGCUGCAUGGCUGUCGUCAGCUCGUGUCGUGAGAUGUUGGGUUAAGUCCCGCAACGAGCGCAACCCUUAUCAUUAGUUGCUACGCAAGGGCACUCUAAUGAGACUGCCGGUGACAAACCGGAGGAAGGUGGGGAUGACGUCAAGUCCUCAUGGCCCUUAUGGGUAGGGCUUCACACGUCAUACAAUGGUCGGUACAGAGGGUUGCCAAGCCGCGAGGUGGAGCCAAUCCCAGAAAACCUGUCUCAGUCCGGAUUGAAGUCUGCAACUCGACUUCAUGAAGGCGGAAUCGCUAGUAACCGCGAAUCAGCAGGUCGCGGUGAAUACGUUCCCGGGCCUU